UACUAUGUUACGACUUAUCUCACCUUAAUAAUGAGAGUGACGGGCGAUGUGUACACAUUAUAGAACUAAUUUCACUUUUACAAUCUACAAAAAAUUACUAUUAAAUCCACCUUCAUAAUCAAAAAUUCCAAUAAUUAAUCCACAAACUUAAUAUAAUGUAAUCCAUCUCUACUUACUUAUAAACUGCACCUUGACUUGAACUAUCAUUUAUUAUAAAAUAACAUAAAAAUUUAACCCUAAAAAGAUUUAAAUAACAGCGAUAUACAUAUUAAUUAAAGUAAGUAAGGUUCAAUGCGGACUAUCAAUUAUAGAACAGAUUCCUCUAAAUAGAUUAUUAUGCCGCCAAAAUCUUUAAGUUUCAAGACCUAAACUAAUACUACUCAGAUUAAUUCUUUACAUAAAAAAUAAUAGGGUAUCUAAUCCUAGUUU
Molecule: ribosomal RNA, 429 nt
Filed under: Nahublattella fraterna
Lineage: Eukaryota; Metazoa; Arthropoda; Insecta; Blattodea; Pseudophyllodromiidae
Description: partial 12S ribosomal RNA
Source: RNAcentral